GACGAACGCUGGCGGCGUGCUUAACACAUGCAAGUCGAACGAUGAUGCCAGCUUGCUGGUGGAUUAGUGGCGAACGGGUGAGUAACACGUGAGCAACCUGCCCCUGACUUCGGGAUAACCGCGGGAAACCGUGGCUAAUACCGGAUAUGACGCGCUAUCGCAUGGUGGUGUGUGGAAAGAUUUAUCGGUUGGGGAUGGGCUCGCGGCCUAUCAGCUUGUUGGUGGGGUGAUGGCCUACCAAGGCGACGACGGGUAGCCGGCCUGAGAGGGUGACCGGCCACACUGGGACGGAGACACGGCCCAGACUCCUACGGGAGGCAGCAGUGGGGAAGAUUGCACAAUGGGCGCAAGCCUGAUGCAGCGACGCCGCGUGAGGGAUGACGGCCUUCGGGUUGUAAACCUCUUUCAGUAGGGAAGAAGGCCUUCGGGUUGACGGUACCUGCAGAAGAAGCGCCGGCUAACUACGUG
Molecule: ribosomal RNA, 468 nt
Filed under: uncultured bacterium
Lineage: Bacteria
Description: partial 16S ribosomal RNA
Rfam family: Bacterial small subunit ribosomal RNA
Source: RNAcentral